Molecule: ribosomal RNA, 694 nt
Filed under: uncultured bacterium
Lineage: Bacteria
Description: bacterial SSU rRNA
Rfam family: Bacterial small subunit ribosomal RNA
Source: RNAcentral
GUCGAGGGGCAGCAUGAACUUAGCUUGCUAAGUUUGAUGGCGACCGGCGCACGGGUGAGUAACACGUAUCCAACCUGCCGAUGACUCGGGGAUAGCCUUUCGAAAGAAAGAUUAAUACCCGAUGGCAUAGUUCUUCCGCAUGGUAGAACUAUUAAAGAAUUUCGGUCAUCGAUGGGGAUGCGUUCCAUUAGGUUGUUGGCGGGGUAACGGCCCACCAAGCCUUCGAUGGAUAGGGGUUCUGAGAGGAAGGUCCCCCACAUUGGAACUGAGACACGGUCCAAACUCCUACGGGAGGCAGCAGUGAGGAAUAUUGGUCAAUGGACGAGAGUCUGAACCAGCCAAGUAGCGUGAAGGAUGACUGCCCUAUGGGUUGUAAACUUCUUUUAUACGGGAAUAAAGUGAGGCACGUGUGCCUUUUUGUAUGUACCGUAUGAAUAAGGAUCGGCUAACUCCGUGCCAGCAGCCGCGGUAAUACGGAGGAUCCGAGCGUUAUCCGGAUUUAUUGGGUUUAAAGGGAGCGUAGGCGGACGCUUAAGUCAGUUGUGAAAGUUUGCGGCUCAACCGUAAAAUUGCAGUUGAUACUGGGUGUCUUGAGUACAGUAGAGGCAGGCGGAAUUCGUGGUGUAGCGGUGAAAUGCUUAGAUAUCACGAAGAACUCCGAUUGCGAAGGCAGCUUGCUGGACUGUAACUGACG